This 215-nucleotide ribosomal RNA is filed under the name uncultured bacterium. Its description in RNAcentral is "partial 16S ribosomal RNA". It matches the Rfam family "Bacterial small subunit ribosomal RNA", at positions 118 to 351 of the family's 1533-position model. The record is from RNAcentral.
UGGGAACGUGCCUUUUGGUUCGGAACAACCCAGGGAAACUUGGGCUAAUACCGGAUAAGCCCUUACGGGGAAAGAUUUAUCGCCAAAAGAUCGGCCCGCGUCUGAUUAGCUAGUUGGUGGGGUAAUGGCCGCCAAGGCUACGAUCAGUAGCUGGUCUGAGAGGAUGAUCAGCCACAUUGGGACUGAGACACGGCCCAGACUCCUACGGGAGGCAG